Molecule: non-coding RNA, 228 nt
Organism: Vicia faba (fava bean)
Lineage: Eukaryota; Viridiplantae; Streptophyta; Magnoliopsida; Fabales; Fabaceae
Source: the annotation of a GenBank genome assembly
AUGAUUUAUUCUAUUGGUCUCGUUUUCUUCUCCUUUGAUGGUGAAUUAGUCCCUCAUUUCUUCUUCCCUGUUCUCCCUUUUGCUCCCUUUGUUGUUCUUGCCAUAGCGCCGAUCUUCACCGAGAAAAACACCACUUCGACUCCAACUGUUUCAGUCCCUAGCCCUAAGACUAGGAGUUUAAACCUUCACAGAUGGAACCGCAACGAAGAGAGGGUAAUUUUGAACUAA